UAACGCGUGGGUAACCUGCCUCAUACAGGGGGAUAACAGUUAGAAAUGACUGCUGAUACCGCAUAAGACCACGGUACCGCAUGGUACAGUGGUAAAAACUCCGGUGGUAUGAGAUGGACCCGCGUCUGAUUAGGUAGUUGGUGGGGUAACGGCCUACCAAGCCGACGAUCAGUAGCCGACCUGAGAGGGCGACCGGCCACAUUGGGACUGAGUCACGGCCCAGACUCCUACGGGAGGCAGCAGUGGGGAAUAUUGCACAAUGGAGGAAACUCUGAUGCAGCGACGCCGCGUGAAGGAUGAAGUAUUUCGGUAUGUAAACUUCUAUCAGCAGGGAAGAAAAUGACGGUACCUGACUAAGAAGCCCCGGCUAACUACGUGCCAGCAGCCGCGGUAAUACGUAGGGGGCAAGCGUUAUCCGGAUUUACUGGGUGUAAAGGGAGCGUAGACGGCACGGCAAGCCAGAUGUGAAAGCCCGGGGCUCAACCCCGGGACUGCAUUUGGAACUGCUGAGCUAGAGUGUCGGAGAGGCAAGUGGAAUUCCUAGUGUAGCGGUGAAAUGCGUAGAUAUUAGGAGGAACACCAGUGGCGAAGGCGGCUUGCUGGACGAUGACUGACGUUGAGGCUCGAAAGCGUGGGGAGCAAACAGGAUUAGAUACCCUGGUAGUCCACGCCGUAAACGAUGACUGCUAGGUGU
This 694-nucleotide ribosomal RNA is filed under the name uncultured bacterium. RNAcentral's name for it is "bacterial SSU rRNA". It matches the Rfam family "Bacterial small subunit ribosomal RNA", at positions 111 to 823 of the family's 1533-position model. The record is from RNAcentral.